AUUUAUUGUUCUCUCCCAGCAUGCCGAGCGCACGUUCCCCUUUCCGCUCGGCGCUAUGAGUGACUGAUUGCCCCCUGACGGUGAGAAAUGUGUUGCCAUCCGAAAACGAAAUUCAAAGCAGCGGAAACGUCGCUCUCCGGAAAAAAAAAAAAAGAAAGAAAAAUGUCACGCAAUCAGAACUUAAUUCACCUUUUGCAUGAAGCUAAAAAAAACCUCAAAGAAAAGGGCGGCUGACUUCUUUAGAAGCGGACCACAUUAAAGCUUCUGCUCAACCUCCUUUCCGUCCAAAUUUCCAGAAUUAAUCCCAAUAAUUCCCUGGCCUUCAUCGCAUGUGCCAUUUUCCCCUUUAAAGCAAACCCAGGUUUCUGAAGCCAUACUGUAAUCACGCACGUCAGACAAUGAUUCAGCCAAAAAAAAAAAAAAACAUUUCAUUGUGCCUGGAGUGGAGCGCGUCAGGCGGCCUCACCUUAAAGUUCAGCUGAGCCCAGUUUUCAAUUUCGGAUGUGGACAAAGAGGCCGUUGUGCACUCUGACGUCUGUCUGCUGGUGCUGGAGCCUCACAGCCCCCAACGCAGAGAGAAGCAAAUUCAAAAAGUCACCGCACCUCCAGGCUGAGGUCUGUUAGCAGAACAAGGGGACACACAUGGAAAUUAGCAGAAGCUCACUCAAAAACAGCCUUAUUCAGCCAAGCAGCCUUACUCCGCCAGACUCUGUGGAGGUGUUAUAUGGAUGAAUGAGAUCUGCCACCCUGACUGCGCCAACCCCGUGCCAACCUCCAUCAAACCCGACGGGUUACCUCGCUACCCGCGCCCAGCGCAUCACCUGACACCGCCGUCCCCGCGAGGCACAGAUUUAAUCUGCCAAGCAAUUUUCUGAAAUCCACUUACAGGGGGAACGUCGAUCCCACAUGCAGAGACCGGGCAAAGCUACAGUACUUAUAGGGUGACUUCCUGCCUCCCUCUCAAUGCAUGCUGGGAUAGGCUCCAGCACCCCCCCACGACCCUGACCAGGAUGAGCGGGUAGAUGGAUGGAUUUCCGGUUUGUGCGGUUGCUAUGGAAACGCAUUCUCUGUCAACACCCGACUGCUCACCGCCGAUGUCACUCGAUUUGAGCCCAAAGGAAAUGCAGCACGGCUGCCCAAUGCAAGGCACCGGCGUGC
Long non-coding RNA from Anguilla rostrata (American eel), 1158 nucleotides. RefSeq lists it as uncharacterized. Lineage: Eukaryota; Metazoa; Chordata; Actinopteri; Anguilliformes; Anguillidae. The transcript has 5 exons. The record is from RefSeq and is a predicted model, not a curated record.